Molecule: long non-coding RNA, 437 nt
Filed under: Hordeum vulgare
Lineage: Eukaryota; Viridiplantae; Streptophyta; Magnoliopsida; Poales; Poaceae
Description: long non-coding RNA (HVUL_LNC005562)
Source: RNAcentral
CCUGUUGCUUCCUACGACUAGAUGCGCACGGGGGCUUGUGUGGCAAGGAUGACGACGGUGGGCAAUGUGAGAGGCGUGUUCUUGGUCGUGGUAGCCGACUCUUCUUCUCCAGCAUGUCCGUGGGUGUGCCUCGACUAUUUGUUGUUGCGAAGUUGAAGCCAUGGUGAAGGGCCGGUGGUAUACGAUGAUGCGUGACAGGUGGUUCUUUCGGUGAUCCUCCUUGACGUCAACCUUGCCUAGUUUACUCUGUAGUGUACAGUCGGAGUCGGAGCUACGCUGUCUAGUUUGAUUUGUAUGGAGUGUUAUGAUGCAGCCAUUAGGGCUAUUAUUUUUUUAUUUUUCUUUGAUCUUCGGAUCUUCUGGUCCUAGGACCUUCACCACCUUGUGUGUUUUCCGUUGUUUCCUGAUAUUAUCAAUGAAUGCCAGCGAUGCUGGAG